UUAUUCCUGAGAUGUUCGAAUAAACUUUUGUGUUUUGAACCUACAUCUGAUAUAUGGGAGUCCGGCAGUUUGAAAAUGUAGAUCAGGCCUUUUACAAAAUCCGACAUUAGCCUUCAGGCUAAUGCAACGGCAAGGGAAAAUCGAGAAUUUCAGCAGGGCACCCACCUAGUAAAUAGCUAGGAGUCAAAACCUAAAGAACGGCAUUUCGGGAAUUAU
This 216-nucleotide non-coding RNA is filed under the name Clostridia bacterium. Its description in RNAcentral is "6S RNA". It matches the Rfam family "6S / SsrS RNA". From Rfam's summary of the family: E. coli 6S RNA was the first non coding RNA to be sequenced, but its function was unknown until recently. It consists of 184 nucleotides that fold into an extended hairpin structure with a large single-stranded internal bulge. The 6S RNA specifically associates with RNA polymerase holoenzyme containing the sigma70 specificity factor. The record is from RNAcentral. Lineage: Bacteria; Bacillati; Bacillota; Clostridia.